AACGAACGCUGGCGGCAGGCCUAACACAUGCAAGUCGAGCGCACCCUUCGGGGUGAGCGGCGGACGGGUGAGUAACGCGUGGGAACGUGCCCUUCUCUGCGGAAUAGCCUCGGGAAACUGAGAGUAAUACCGCAUACGCCCUUUGGGGGAAAGAUUUAUCGGAGAAGGAUCGGCCCGCGUUGGAUUAGGUAGUUGGUGGGGUAAUGGCCCACCAAGCCGACGAUCCAUAGCUGGUUUGAGAGGAUGAUCAGCCACACUGGGACUGAGACACGGCCCAGACUCCUACGGGAGGCAGCAGUGGGGAGUCUUAGACAAUGGGGGCAACCCUGAUCUAGCCAUGCCGCGUGAGUGAUGAAGGCCUUAGGGUUGUAAAGCUCUUUCAGCUGGGAAGAUAAUGACGGUACCAGCAGAAGAAGCCCCGGCUAACUCCGUU
This 433-nucleotide ribosomal RNA is filed under the name uncultured bacterium. Its description in RNAcentral is "partial 16S ribosomal RNA". It matches the Rfam family "Bacterial small subunit ribosomal RNA", at positions 29 to 507 of the family's 1533-position model. The record is from RNAcentral.